Molecule: ribosomal RNA, 677 nt
Filed under: uncultured Lachnospiraceae bacterium
Lineage: Bacteria; Bacillati; Bacillota; Clostridia; Lachnospirales; Lachnospiraceae
Description: bacterial SSU rRNA
Rfam family: Bacterial small subunit ribosomal RNA
Source: RNAcentral
UUCAUUGAGACUUCGGUGGAUCUGAUCUAUUUCUAGUGGCGGACGGGUGAGUAACGCGUGGGUAACCUGCCUUAUACAGGGGGAUAACAGUCAGAAAUGGCUGCUAAUACCGCAUAAGCGCACAGAGCUGCAUGGCUCGGUGUGAAAAACUCCGGUGGUAUAAGAUGGACCCGCGUUGGAUUAGCUAGUUGGUGGGGUAACGGCCCACCAAGGCGACGAUCCAUAGCCGGCCUGAGAGGGUGAACGGCCACAUUGGGACUGAGACACGGCCCAGACUCCUACGGGAGGCAGCAGUGGGGAAUAUUGCACAAUGGGGGAAACCCUGAUGCAGCGACGCCGCGUGAAGGAAGAAGUAUCUCGGUAUGUAAACUUCUAUCAGCAGGGAAGAUAGUGACGGUACCUGACUAAGAAGCCCCGGCUAACUACGUGCCAGCAGCCGCGGUAAUACGUAGGGGGCAAGCGUUAUCCGGAUUUACUGGGUGUAAAGGGAGCGUAGACGGUGUGGCAAGUCUGAUGUGAAAGGCAUGGGCUCAACCUGUGGACUGCAUUGGAAACUGCAGAUCUGGAGUGCCGGAGAGGUAAGCGGAAUUCCUAGUGUAGCGGUGAAAUGCGUAGAUAUUAGGAGGAACACCAGUGGCGAAGGCGGCUUACUGGACGGUGACUGACGUUGAGGCUCG